This 484-nucleotide ribosomal RNA is filed under the name uncultured bacterium. RNAcentral describes it as "partial 16S ribosomal RNA". It matches the Rfam family "Bacterial small subunit ribosomal RNA", at positions 30 to 507 of the family's 1533-position model. The record is from RNAcentral.
AUUGAACGCUGGCGGCAGGCCUAACACAUGCAAGUCGAGCGGUUGAAUCGAGCUUUCUCCUGGAUUCAUCGGCGGACGGGUGUGUAAUGCCUAUGAAUCUGCCUUGUAUUGGGGGAUAACGUCCUUAAACGGGCGCUAAUCCCCCAUACGUCCUGUUGUCGCAAUUGGUGGUUCUUCGGUCCUCUCGCUUUCUUAUUAGCCUAGUUCGGAUUAGCUAGUUGGUGUGGUAAAGGCCUACCAAGGCUACGAUCCGUAACUGGUCUGAGAGGAUGAUCAGUCACACGGGAAGUGAGACACGGAACAGAAACCUACGGGAGGAAGCAGAGGGGAAUAUUGGACAAGGGGCGAAAGGAUGAUAAAGCAAUGCGGAGUGUGUGAAGAAGGUGUUCGGAUUGUAAAGCAAUUUAAGUUGGGAGGAAGGGAAGUAAGUUAAUACCUUGCUGUAUUGACGUUACCAACAGAAUAAGCACCGGCUAACUUCGUG